AAUUAAGCAAGAUUAAAGUAUUGAAGAUUUUAACAAAAUACACAAUAUAAUCUCACUAGGACCCGGUGUCAUGAAUCUGAGCCUCUAGAAUACAGAAUAUCAUCCUAAUACAAGGUAUAUCCAAAGUCCGAUAAUGCGGAACUAAAGAGAUAGGAUAAGAGGGAGAAGAUCAAUGGCUGCGAACGCCGUGCAGCUACCUCGAUACUCCCAGAGGCUGGAUCUGCUGAUCAACUGGAUCUACUGAGCCUGAGACUGCCCUGGAUCUGCACACAAGGUGCAGGGAGUAAAGUGAGUACUCUGAACCAGUAAGUAAUAAAAGUAACUACAGUCCGAAGAUAAUAAAAUCCAGUAAAUACACAAAGUAAGCUAUCCAAAUAUACAGCAACACAUGGAACUGAGCAGCUAAACAACAGUAUAAAUACAAAUACAUGAAUGCAAUGCAAUGCAAAUGAUGGUACAUUCCGGUACCUACUGCGGCGUGCAGCCCGAGCCAUCCAUAUUUAUUUAUCGUCGACGGCGCUCACUAGGGGUGUGUACAGACUCCAGAGGGGCUCCUACAGCCCAAACGCAAUAUCUUGGUCAGUCAUUAUUACCUGACCGGUCAGCCAUUUUUACCUGACCAAUUUAUAUCAUAUAGUGCCGUUGUUACCACUGUUCAAGUAUAUCAUCCAGUGUCAUUGUUACCACUAUUUCAAGUAUAUCACACAGUGUCAUUGUUACCACUGUUUCAAGUAUAUCACACAGUGUCAUUAUUGCCACUAUUUCAAGUAUAUCACACAGUGUCAUUGUUACCACUGUUUCAAGUCACUUUAUAAUCAGUCCAGAAAAUAAUAUAAUAAUCCCCUUGGGCAUUUACAAAAUAGAAGUUCCCAGCCCGGAAUACAUUUAAAAAUAUCAUUUAAGUUUUCAACACUUAGAAUUAUGGAUGAGUUUGCAAAACAGCAUUUAAAACCUUGGACUGAAAUUAAAUGAUAUGCAAAUCAUGCUAAGCAGUAUCAAUCCUCGAAGGAUUUUACAAAUCGGCACAAGGCCCCAAACAUGGCAUCAAGCCUAGUAAUAUCAAUGAAGUAUGUGUAUCAAUCACCAGUAUGGUAUAAACAUCACACGGGAUGGACCAAGUCACAAUCCCUAAUAGUAUUCGACCCCGCACUCGCCAUGGAGUGCGUGUCAUGCCUCAAUAUAGCGUUACGAUGUGAAAGUCCGGGGUUUCAAACCCUCAGAACAACAUUUACAUCUAUUACUCACCUCAAGUUGGCCAAAAGUCUACUCCGCGAUGCCCUUUCCUUUCGAAUCGACCUCCUCCCGCGUCGAAUCUU
This 1316-nucleotide long non-coding RNA is filed under the name Nicotiana tabacum (common tobacco). RNAcentral's name for it is "long non-coding RNA (NTAB_LNC012149)". The record is from RNAcentral. Lineage: Eukaryota; Viridiplantae; Streptophyta; Magnoliopsida; Solanales; Solanaceae.